RNAcentral lists this small nucleolar RNA (99 nucleotides) under Jatropha curcas. RNAcentral describes it as "Plant small nucleolar RNA R71". It matches the Rfam family "Plant small nucleolar RNA R71". From Rfam's summary of the family: R71 is a member of the C/D box family of snoRNAs containing the C (UGAUGA) and D (CUGA) box motifs. Lineage: Eukaryota; Viridiplantae; Streptophyta; Magnoliopsida; Malpighiales; Euphorbiaceae. The record is from Rfam by way of RNAcentral.
AAACUGUGGUGAGGGCAUUUUCUUAGUAAAUCUUUGAAUCUUUCAUACAAGCUUUCCUGAUCAUGAUGGACAAAGGUCAUAAUCUCAUUUCGCAAUUUU